This 253-nucleotide ribosomal RNA is filed under the name uncultured bacterium. RNAcentral describes it as "partial 16S ribosomal RNA". It matches the Rfam family "Bacterial small subunit ribosomal RNA", at positions 524 to 776 of the family's 1533-position model. The record is from RNAcentral.
UACGUAGGUGGCAAGCGUUGUCCGGAUUUACUGGGCGUAAAGGGUGCGUAGGCGGACCUUUAAGUGAGAUGUGAAAUCCCCGAGCUUAACUUGGGGGCUGCAUUUCAAACUGGAGGUCUAGAGUGCAGGAGAGGAGAGUGGAAUUCCUAGUGUAGCGGUGAAAUGCGUAGAGAUUAGGAAGAACACCAGUGGCGAAGGCGACUCUCUGGACUGUAACUGACGCUGAGGCACGAAAGCGCGGGGAGCAAACAGG